This is a small nuclear RNA of Rhinopithecus roxellana (golden snub-nosed monkey), 173 nucleotides long. Its record names the gene U2. It matches the Rfam family "U2 spliceosomal RNA". From Rfam's summary of the family: U2 is a small nuclear RNA (snRNA) component of the spliceosome (involved in pre-mRNA splicing). Complementary binding between U2 snRNA (in an area lying towards the 5' end but 3' to hairpin I) and the branchpoint sequence (BPS) of the intron results the bulging out of an unpaired adenosine, on the BPS, which initiates a nucleophilic attack at the intronic 5' splice site, thus starting the first of two transesterification reactions that mediate splicing. NCBI's taxonomy places the organism in Eukaryota, Metazoa, Chordata, Mammalia, Primates, Cercopithecidae. The record is from Ensembl.
AUCCUUUUUUGGCCUUUUGGCUAAGAUCAAGUGUGAUAUUCUUAUUAGUUUAAUAUCUGAUACAUUAAAAAAUUUGAUAUUGAAAACAAUUCCCCUCUGUGCUUCAACUACAAAUCCCUUACACAUAAUGUUCUGUCUGGGUUUUUCCCACAGCCAAGAGGGAAUUUAUUUGA